Molecule: ribosomal RNA, 459 nt
Filed under: uncultured bacterium
Lineage: Bacteria
Description: bacterial SSU rRNA
Rfam family: Bacterial small subunit ribosomal RNA
Source: RNAcentral
AACGAACGCUGGCGGCAUGCCUAACACAUGCAAGUCGAACGAGACCUUCGGGUCUAGUGGCGCACGGGUGCGUAACACGUGGGAAUUUGCCUCGGGGUAUGGAAUAACUCAGGGAAACUUGAGCUAAUACCAUAUAAUGUCUUCGGACCAAAGAUUUAUCGCCCUGAGAUAAGCCCGCGUAGGAUUAGCUAGUUGGUGGGGUAAAGGCUCACCAAGGCGACGAUCCUUAGCUGGUCUGAGAGGAUGAUCAGCCACACUGGGACUGAGACACGGCCCAGACUCCUACGGGAGGCAGCAGUGGGGAACAUUGGACAAUGGGCGAAAGCCUGAUCCAGCAAUGCCGCGUGAGUGAUGAAGGCCUUAGGGUUGUAAAGCUCUUUACCCGGGAUGAUAAUGACAGUACCGGGAGAAUAAGCUCCGGCUAACUCCGUGCCAGCAGCCGCGGUAAUGUGACUACUG